GAUGAACGCUGGCGGCGUGCCUAAUACAUGCAAGUCGAGCGAACAGACGAGGAGCUUGCUUCUCUGACGUUAGCGGCGGACGGGUGAGUAACACGUGGAUAACCUACCUAUAAGACUGGGAUAACUUCGGGAAACCGGAUCUAAUACCGGAUAAUAUAUUGAACCACAUGGUUCAAUAGUGAAAGACGGUUUUGCUGUCACUUAUAGAUGGAUCCAGGUCGGAUUAGCUAGUUGGUAGGGUAAAGGCCUACCAAGGCGACGAUGCGGAACUGACCUGAGAGGAUGAUCAGUCACACUGGAACUGAGACACGGUCCAGACUCCUACGGGAGGCAGCAGUGGGGAAUAUUGGACAAUGGGCGAAAGCCUGAUCCAGCCAUGCCGCGUGUGUGAAGAGGGUCUUCGGAUUGUAAAGCACUUUAAGUUGGGAGGAAGGGCAGUAAGUUAAUACCUUGCUGUUUUGACGUUACCAACAGAAUAAGCACCGGCUAACUUCGUG
This 497-nucleotide ribosomal RNA is filed under the name uncultured bacterium. RNAcentral describes it as "partial 16S ribosomal RNA". It matches the Rfam family "Bacterial small subunit ribosomal RNA", at positions 28 to 507 of the family's 1533-position model. The record is from RNAcentral.